UGACCCUUCAGUAACAGCCCACUCCUUCCACUCACUGCUUGUAUCACUACCACUACUCCAUGACCCACUCUCCUGAAUCUUUCCUUCCUGCCCUUCUACUCAAUACCUCACCUAAUGCCAUACCUCUCCUUCCUUCCUGGCCUAUCCUUCCCAAUGACUUUGCUUUUCUCCCUCAGUCCCACUGCUCUAGCCCAAAACUGUGCUCCUACAGCAACUCUGCUGGCUACGCAUCCCACGAGACCAUGCAGCUCCCCCCAGUGAAACCUCUCCAUAAACAAAUUCAGCCCUAUACUUCCCAGCUAUCCUGGUGCCUAUAUAGAAAAUACGUCUGUAUGGAAACUGUUGAGUCACAGCCUGAACCACUGAUUGAGCACCUGGAGAAAAGACCUAGUCAGCACUGGAUGUACAGGUGAUCCAGGCAAUCUCAGCCUUUGUGAGGAUGAGCCUGCCUGUGAAGGGGCCCAGGUGUGGACAUCAAGCAUUGCUGUGUGCUGCCACAGGCCAAGGAGUGACCCUGAGGAGUGGAAAAAGGAAAGAUUAUACUGGCAAAGCCCUGGCAGUUGGAGAACUCACCAUCAUCCUCUGGGCCCUUGGAGAUCCUUCCUGCCUCACCUGCCUACUUCCACCUGGUCCUGAUGUCUGAGAGUUAAUUCCUUUACAAUGUUUCCUCCCAGGUUGUGCGUAUAGUGGAGCAUCACUGCAAAAUCUCUUAGGUUUUAUUCACAGUAACUGAGUAAGUAGUGCAUGAACCUUCUCCAUAUUGCCACGACAAAAAGCAACCUGAAACCCUGUCAGUAUGACACAGAAAUGCAUCUUCCUCAGCAUGGUUCCAGGAUAAGUGGGCUGUCCCAGGUAGAUCACAGAGUCAGUGGUCUUACUCAGCUUUGGUCCAAGCAGGCUCGCUGAUCUCCUUGGAAGGCAACACCAAAGUCUUCUGGGGUGAAACUCAUGUCUCUGUGUAUCUUUCUGCAGUUGGCUUCAAGACUUGCAGCUCUUUGGGCAUGAAAAGCAGUGAAAAGCACUGGGCUUGAAGGCUUUGUGCUCUCCCUGAUGCUCACUGCAGGAAAAUAUCUGUGCAUCUCUGGCAAGGAAAGUAACAGCCCAACAUCAGGCCAGAGAUACCAUGGCCUUGCUUCUUGGAAAUCUGGGUUGCUAAAUUAAAUAUAACAUGAAUCAAUACUGAGCCUCAGGGGAUUUUCACCCACUGGCUGCCACGCUGAUGAAAGUCCUGCUGUUAGCUGGACUCCUCCCUGCUCUACUUACUGCACUGCAAUGUCAAUAGGAGCCAAUCUCUGCCCACUGAUGCAUGUGUUUCUAACUUCCUCAGACUUGUGGAUGGAUUUAUUUCUUUCAUGCCCCACAGCUGCUUGCCCCAAAUGAACAUCAAGCUCAAGCCAGCACCUGAAGCCAGUGUCCUUCCUCAGCACCAGAUCUCAGACCAAGAUCCAAGGGUAAUGUGCCUAGAGAACAGAUCUUCUCUCCUUGCCUGAAGCCAAGCUCCCCAGCACAGCAUGAGAUGGUGACAGCAUCUGAGGAUGCAGCAUGAUUCCUAUGGCAGCUCCAAGACAACAAAUUGGUGCAUUACUCUCCCACAGAGUAUCUCCUACAGUCUUUUCCAAACAAUGUUCUUGCCACUGUUGGUUUUCCUAAGUCAAUUUUCCUCCACCUUAAGUCUGAAGAUGACAAACAUUACUUUACACUGAUUAAGGUCUUCCUCCAGAGUACCUGUCCUAUUCAGUCCAAUGCAGCAGGAAAAUGCCUCCAACUCAUGCAUUAGCUCCUGUUUCCUCUAUUUAUUACCCUUUAUCCACCAGCAGAAAGUUCAUACAGAGGCAUCAGAAUAGCCGUACUGGUACUAGAAAGCAAUUUGUUAGCUCGGCAUCACAGGGAUGGUGCACUCUUCCUAUUUGCCCCAGUGUAAAGCUAUAGCAUUACCUCUAGGAAGAAGACAAUCUCUAUUUCUUGGGAUAUUUAGACUAAACAAAAUGGUAGGCAGCAUAUAAAAAGUCAGGGCCCUAUGCUGGCUUCUGGAAAAAGCUAUUGCCCCUCAAUUUCUUUCCCAGCUCUAGCUGGAGUGGGAUAGUAUGUGUGCGAGUAAAUGUGAAUGUGUAUGUAUAUAUAUAUAUAUAUAGGCAUACAUUUGGAAUACGUACUAUAACCAUGCACCUAAGUGUGUGCAGAAUGCAGCAGAGCAUGUGUAAUUGGGAAGGUGAAGACAAAAAAAGAACUACAGCCAUGCAGACACACACAAGUAUUUGAGAGUGAGAUCAGGUUAUGCCUGUUGUUUAUACAGUGCAUUCGUGAAGAGGAGGGAAGGUAUGAGAGAAGCUGAAGAAACGCAGGCUUUCUGUGCUCAUCCCUGCUGACACCCAGCUAUCCCUGCAUGGUGCUCCCCAUGCUCUGAUCAUUAAAAGAAAUCUAAAGAGACACACUCAGGUCCAACAAGGACUCUGCUCUGCAGAAAAGCUAUUACAUCCCUCCUGGAUCCGAGCUGAUCCUGGAAAAGGAACACGCAGCAAGUAGCUGAGUAAGUGACCC
Non-coding RNA from Coturnix japonica (Japanese quail), 2538 nucleotides. The record is from RefSeq and is a predicted model, not a curated record. NCBI's taxonomy places the organism in Eukaryota, Metazoa, Chordata, Aves, Galliformes, Phasianidae.